UUGUUUUUCAACUACAGAAACUUU
RNAcentral lists this transfer RNA (24 nucleotides) under Crocidura grayi halconus. Its description in RNAcentral is "partial tRNA-Glu". The record is from RNAcentral. Lineage: Eukaryota; Metazoa; Chordata; Mammalia; Eulipotyphla; Soricidae.